Molecule: unclassified non-coding RNA, 260 nt
Filed under: Hevea brasiliensis (rubber tree)
Lineage: Eukaryota; Viridiplantae; Streptophyta; Magnoliopsida; Malpighiales; Euphorbiaceae
Source: RNAcentral
UACUAAGCAAUGGUAAGUACAAGAGUGUUCUUCACAGGAGUUUGGUGAACAAAGAAAGGACAAGAAUGUCUUGGGCUGUGUUUGUCGUGCCUCCUCAUGAAGCAGUGAUUGGACCUCUUCCAGAGCUCAUUGAUGAGAAAAACCCAGCAAAAUAUUCAACCAAAACAUAUGCCGAGUACCGUUAUCGCAAAUUCAAUAAGAUUCCACAAUAAUUGCAUUUUAUUGAGCUGAGAGGUUGGCAUUGGAAAAGUCUAUGCUGG